RNAcentral lists this ribosomal RNA (449 nucleotides) under uncultured bacterium. Its description in RNAcentral is "partial 16S ribosomal RNA". It matches the Rfam family "Bacterial small subunit ribosomal RNA", at positions 338 to 795 of the family's 1533-position model. The record is from RNAcentral.
CCUACGGGGGGCAGCAGUGGGGAAUAUUGGACAAUGGGCGCAAGCCUGAUCCAGCAAUGCCGCGUGUGUGACGAAGGCCUGCGGGUUGUAAAGCACUUUAAGCAGGAAAGAAGGGGUGAAAGUUAAUACCUUUCAUCAUUGACGUUACCUGCAGAAUAAGCACCGGCUAACUCCGUGCCAGCAGCCGCGGUAAUACGGAGGGUGUGAGCGUUAGUCGGAAUUACUGGGCGGAUUUGAUGCGUAGGCGGUUAAAGCCCUGGGCGUAACCUGGGAACUGCGGGUGAUACUGUCGGGCUAGAGUGUGGUAGAGGGGAGUGGAAUUUCCGGUGUAGCAGUGAAAUGCGUAGAGAUCGGAAGGAACACCAGUGGCGAAGGCGGCUCCCUGGACUAACACUGACGCUGAGGUGCGAAAGCGUGGGGAGCAAACAGGAUUAGAUACCCUAGUAGUC